UAAAUUUAUUUCUGCAGAAUCCAGUAUGUUACACCUAAUGGCCUGGAGUUUUGUCAGGAUACCAUGAAAUACUGUAUGUGAAAGCACACUGCAUCUUGAAACUGUAGGAAAUCUUCUAAAUGGCUGAUGAAAGAUGCUCUUGGCACUCUAUUAAUGGAUGCUAAUUAAAGUCUUGCUUUGGACAAAAGAAAACAGAUGAAGAAGGCAGAACACAAUAGAACCUCACAGAUGGACUCCUGGAAUAAGCAAGGGACUUGCAAGAGAUCCUGGCAAUCUACAUUAUGGUAUAUCAGCACCUUGACUUAUCUUAAUGAAGAUGUCUGGAAAACUCAGUUGUUUCAUAGCUAG
Molecule: long non-coding RNA, 348 nt
Filed under: Capra hircus (goat)
Lineage: Eukaryota; Metazoa; Chordata; Mammalia; Artiodactyla; Bovidae
Description: lncRNA (ENSCHIG00000001554.1)
Source: RNAcentral